UACGUAGGCGGAAAAUUAAGUCAGUAGUGAAAUCCUGCAGCUUAACUGUAGAACUGUUAUUGAUACUGGUUUUCUUGAAUAUAGUUGAGGUAGGCGGAAUGUGUAAUGUAGCGGUGAAAUGCUUAGAUAUUACACAGAACACCGAUUGCGAAGGCAGCUUACUAAGCUAUGAUUGACGCUGAGGUACGAAAGCGUGGAGAGCGAACAGGAUUAGAUACCCUGGUAGUCC
Molecule: ribosomal RNA, 229 nt
Filed under: uncultured bacterium
Lineage: Bacteria
Description: partial 16S ribosomal RNA
Rfam family: Bacterial small subunit ribosomal RNA
Source: RNAcentral